GUGCUCACAUCAGCAGCAAAUGCACUAAAGUUGGAGCAAUACAGAGAAGAUUAGCAUGGCCCCUGUGCAGGGAUGACAUGCAAAUUCAUGAAUCAUUCCAUAUUUUU
This is a small nuclear RNA of Zalophus californianus (California sea lion), 107 nucleotides long. The record is from Ensembl. NCBI's taxonomy places the organism in Eukaryota, Metazoa, Chordata, Mammalia, Carnivora, Otariidae.